Molecule: ribosomal RNA, 391 nt
Filed under: Actinomyces lingnae
Lineage: Bacteria; Bacillati; Actinomycetota; Actinomycetes; Actinomycetales; Actinomycetaceae
Description: bacterial SSU rRNA
Rfam family: Bacterial small subunit ribosomal RNA
Source: RNAcentral
CUGAUGCAGCGACGCCGCGUGAGGGAUGAAGGCCUUCGGGUUGUAAACCUCUUUCGCUCAUGGUCAAGCCGCAACAGUGGUUGUGGUGAGGGUAGUGGGUAAAGAAGCACCGGCUAACUACGUGCCAGCAGCCGCGGUAAUACGUAGGGUGCGAGCGUUGUCCGGAAUUAUUGGGCGUAAAGGGCUUGUAGGCGGUUUGUCGCGUCUGCCGUGAAAUCCUCUGGCUUAACUGGGGGCGUGCGGUGGGUACGGGCAGGCUUGAGUGCGGUAGGGGAGACUGGAACUCCUGGUGUAGCGGUGGAAUGCGCAGAUAUCAGGAAGAACACCGGUGGCGAAGGCGGGUCUCUGGGCCGUUACUGACGCUGAGGAGCGAAAGCGUGGGGAGCGAACA